Molecule: ribosomal RNA, 315 nt
Filed under: uncultured eukaryote
Lineage: Eukaryota
Description: partial 18S ribosomal RNA
Rfam family: Eukaryotic small subunit ribosomal RNA
Source: RNAcentral
CCCUUAGAUGUUCUGGGCUGCACGCGCGCUACACUGACGCACGCAACAGGUGCCUGCUCCGAGAGGACUGGGUAAUCAUUUGAGUGUGCGUCGUGAUGGGGAUAGAAUAUUGUAAUUAUUACUCUUCAACGAGGAAUUCCUAGUAAGCGCCAGUCAGCAGCUUGCGCUGAUUACGUCCCUGCCCUUUGUACACACCGCCCGUCGCUCCUGCCGAUGGGUGAUCCGGUGAAUGAUUCGGACUUCAGCGGCUCCCCUGGGGUGCGCCGGAGAAAGUUUUGUGAACCUUAUCACUUGGAGGAAGGAGAAGUCGUAACA